CGUCAGAUUUUGGAACGCACCCCUGAGAGGAAAUCCGUAUUAAACCGUUAGUGCAAGCAAUUACCACCAAGCAGAGGAGGCUACUUGUGAGACUCCUUGCAUCCCAUCUGCUGGAAACCAAUGGUGAAACGCCAUCAUCAGACACUAAGAAGGCCCGUGACAAGGCAUUGGUGUAUGAAUUUCCUUGCCUGAAGGAUAAUACAGCUGCUAAAGGGGAAACAGCACUGAAGAUGCCAACUCUGCUAGCUCCAUCCAUUUACAGGGGAGGAGGAAAAGUCUUCAGAUCUACCACUGUGGAGGCCCAG
This is a long non-coding RNA of Paramisgurnus dabryanus, 305 nucleotides long. RefSeq lists it as uncharacterized. The record is from RefSeq and is a predicted model, not a curated record. NCBI's taxonomy places the organism in Eukaryota, Metazoa, Chordata, Actinopteri, Cypriniformes, Cobitidae.